GACAGAGGAUGCAAGCGUUAUCCGGAAUGAUUGGGCGUAAAGCGUCUGUAGGUGGCUUUUCAAGUCCGCCGUCAAAUCCCAGGGCUCAACCCUGGACAGGCGGUGGAAACUACCAAGCUGGAGUACGGUAGGGGCAGAGGGAAUUUCCGGUGGAGCGGUGAAAUGCGCAGAUAUCAGGAGGAACACCGGUGGCGAAGGCGGGUCUCUGGGCAACAACUGACGCUGAGGAGCGAAAGCGUGGGGAGCGAACAGG
This 253-nucleotide ribosomal RNA is filed under the name uncultured bacterium. RNAcentral describes it as "partial 16S ribosomal RNA". It matches the Rfam family "Bacterial small subunit ribosomal RNA", at positions 524 to 776 of the family's 1533-position model. The record is from RNAcentral.